UACAGAGGUGGCAAGCGUUGUUCGGAAUUACUGGGCGUAAAGGGCGCGUAGGCGGUCAGGUCAGUCCCGUGUGAAAUCCCUCGGCUCAACUGAGGAACUGCACGGGAAACUACCUGGCUUGAGUUCGGGAGAGGGAAGCGGAAUUCCGGGUGUAGCGGUGAAAUGCGUAGAUAUUGGGAGGAACACCAGUGGCGAAGGCGGCUCACUGGACCGGAACUGACGCUGAGGCGCGAAAGCGUGGGGAGCAAACAGG
This 253-nucleotide ribosomal RNA is filed under the name uncultured bacterium. RNAcentral's name for it is "partial 16S ribosomal RNA". It matches the Rfam family "Bacterial small subunit ribosomal RNA", at positions 524 to 776 of the family's 1533-position model. The record is from RNAcentral.